Molecule: ribosomal RNA, 371 nt
Filed under: uncultured organism
Description: bacterial SSU rRNA
Rfam family: Bacterial small subunit ribosomal RNA
Source: RNAcentral
CGAAGGGGGCUAGCGUUGUUCGGAAUUACUGGGCGUAAAGGGCGCGUAGGCGGCCGUUUAAGUUAGGUGUGAAAGUCCUGGGCUCAACCUGGGGACUGCACUUAAUACUGGAUGGCUUGAAUUCGGGAGAGGAUAGCGGAAUUCCCAGUGUAGAGGUGAAAUUCGUAGAUAUUGGGAAGAACACCGGUGGCGAAGGCGGCUAUCUGGACCGACAUUGACGCUGAGGCGCGAAAGCGUGGGGAGCAAACAGGAUUAGAUACCCUGGUAGUCCACGCCGUAAACGAUGAGUGCUAGACGUUGGGAAGCUUAGCUUUUCAGUGUCGCAGCUAACGCAUUAAGCACUCCGCCUGGGGAGUACGGUCGCAAGAUUA